This 253-nucleotide ribosomal RNA is filed under the name uncultured bacterium. RNAcentral's name for it is "partial 16S ribosomal RNA". It matches the Rfam family "Bacterial small subunit ribosomal RNA", at positions 524 to 776 of the family's 1533-position model. The record is from RNAcentral.
GACGAAGGGGGCUAGCGUUGUUCGGAAUUACUGGGCGUAAAGCGCGUGUAGGCGGUUAUCCAAGUCGGGUGUGGAAGCCUUGAGCUCAACUCAAGAAAUGCAUUCGGUACUGGGUGACUAGAGGACCGGAGAGGAUAGUGGAAUUCCCAGUGUAGUGGUGAAAUACGUAGAGAUUGGGAAGAACACCAGUGGCGAAGGCGGCUAUCUGGACGGUUUCUGACGCUAAGACGCGAAAGCGUGGGGAGCAAACAGG